GAUCCUGGCUCAGGAUGAACGCUAGCGGCAGGCUUAAUACAUGCAAGUCAAGGGGGUAGCAAUACAACCGGCGCACGGGUGAGUAACGCGUACACAACAUACCAUAUACUGGGGUAUAGCUUUGGGAAACUGAAGGUAAUCCCCCAUAACAUUGCGAAAGGGCAUCUGAUUGCAAUUAAAGUUUCGGCGGUAUAUGAUUGGUGUGCGUUUGAUUAGCUAGUUGGUAGGGUAACGGCCUACCAAGGCGACGAUCAAUAGCUGGCGUGAGAGCGCGACCAGCCACACUGGAACUGAGACACGGUCCAGACUCCUACGGGAGGCAGCAGUAGGGAAUAUUGGACAAUGGAGGAAACUCUGAUCCAGCCAUGCCGCGUGAUAGAUGAAGGCCCUCUGGGUUGUAAAUAUCUUUUAUCUGGGAAGAAACACUCCUAUUCUUAGGAACUUGACGGUACCAGGGGAAUAAGCACCGGCUAACUCCGUG
RNAcentral lists this ribosomal RNA (481 nucleotides) under uncultured bacterium. RNAcentral's name for it is "bacterial SSU rRNA". It matches the Rfam family "Bacterial small subunit ribosomal RNA", at positions 15 to 507 of the family's 1533-position model. The record is from RNAcentral.